GAUGAAGAACGUAGCGAAAUGCGAUACGUAAUGUGAAUUGCAGAUUUCAGUGAAUCAUCGAAUCUUUGAACGCACAUUGCGCCCGCUAGUAUUCUGGCGGGCAUGCCUGUUCGAGCGUCAUUUCAACCAUCAAGCCCUAGGCUUGCGUUGGAGCCCUGCGGCUGCCGCAGGCUCCCAAAUCCAGUGGCGGGCUCGUCGUCGUACCGAGUGCAGUAAACAUCCUCGCUCAGGGAACGUGACGGGUUCUUGCCGUGAAACCCCCCACAUAUCAAGGUUGACCUCGGAUCAGGUAGGAAUACCCGCUGAACUUAAGCAUAUAAUAAGCGGAGGA
This 331-nucleotide unclassified non-coding RNA is filed under the name soil metagenome. Its description in RNAcentral is "partial contains 5.8S ribosomal RNA, internal transcribed spacer 2, and large subunit ribosomal RNA". The stretch from base 1 to 120 matches the Rfam family "5.8S ribosomal RNA", at positions 35 to 154 of the family's 154-position model. The record is from RNAcentral.